RNAcentral lists this ribosomal RNA (442 nucleotides) under uncultured Treponema clone CFS5p. RNAcentral's name for it is "bacterial SSU rRNA". It matches the Rfam family "Bacterial small subunit ribosomal RNA", at positions 64 to 496 of the family's 1533-position model. Lineage: Bacteria; Pseudomonadati; Spirochaetota; Spirochaetia; Treponematales; Treponemataceae. The record is from RNAcentral.
GAGCGGCAGGGUGCAGCAAUGCAUUCGAGAGCGGCGGACUGGUGAGUAACGCGUGGGUGACCUGCCUUGAGGAUGGGGAUAGCCGUUAGAAAUAGCGGGUAAUACCGAAUACGUUCGCGCCGUCGAGGCGGCGCGAGGAAAGGGGCUCCGGCCCCGCCUUGAGAUGGGCCCGCGUCCCAUUAGCUAGUUGGGGGUGUAACGGACCACCAAGGCGAAGAUGGGUAGCCGGCCUGAGAGGGUGAACGGCCACACUGGGACUGAGAUACGGCCCAGACUCCUACGGGAGGCAGCAGCUAAGAAUAUUCCGCAAUGGACGAAAGUCUGACGGAGCGACGCCGCGUGGAUGACGAAGGCCGAAAGGUUGUAAAAUCCUUUUGCGGACGAAGAAUAAGCCUGGGAGGGAAUGCCCGGGUGAUGACGUUAGUCCGAGAAGAAGCCCCGG